Molecule: long non-coding RNA, 933 nt
Organism: Pyrus x bretschneideri (Chinese white pear)
Lineage: Eukaryota; Viridiplantae; Streptophyta; Magnoliopsida; Rosales; Rosaceae
Exons: 3
Source: RefSeq, a predicted model, not a curated record
UUUGUGUUUAGCUUUGAAAACAGGUAUCACGGGUUCUGCCCGUUUGCAGACCCUAAUUAAAACUUGAAAAGCAAAAGUAGACAAUACUUGAGAGUACCACCGCCGCCUCCUCCUCCUCCGCCUCCUCCUCCUAGGAGAGGAGAGAGACGCCUUGUACUUUCCUUUCCUUGUUAUAGCAAACCAGUCAAAUCCAAUCCACUCGGAAGCAGUCAGACUUUCUGAUCCUGUCAUCGUUAGCAAAUUUAUCACAAAUCAAAUCACACCUCUGGUCUCCCAACAACUCCCAGAUUUACCAUGUCCUCUGCAACAAAUUCUGAUUUCUUCAGAUCUACUUUUGGUUGUGGUUUUCAAUCUUCAAUUUUCUCAAAAGAUGUGAAUUUUGCCCAAUAUUCAUCACCAAAGUCAAGAAAAUUCUACAAUUCUGGGGGCUAGGUGGAUGCAUCGAUUGCUGAUGAUGAUUAUGGAGAAAAGAAGAAAAGGAAAAACAAGCACAUCCACCCUUGUUAUUGGGAGAGGCUAUGGAUGGACGACGAUCCAAUCUUGGACCGCUUCAGCGUGACAAGUGAAAGCUAAGUAACAAAACUCCUUUCCUACACAAUACUCCUUCUUUUAGAGGGGCUUCUAGUUUUAUGCUCCUAGACUAAGGGCUACUUUGAUAUUACUAUGUUUUUAAGACACUCUGCUUGCAGAGGAGGACCUCGGAACUCCGAGUGUUAAGAACCAUAUUGUUGGGCCUAUUUGCUCUCUUUCAGCCCAUACUUGUUAGUUCUCAACUUGCUUUGUUGCUCAAGGCCCAGGCUAUUAGGACGACACACGAUGGCUGCGUUUUAUUCUUCUAGCUAGGGUUUUCCCUUCCAGCUGAAUAUAAGUAAAUGUGGCUGUGCUCUGUUAAAGGGGAUCUGAUGAAUGAAAUGAACCUUCUUUCCUUUUAAA